Long non-coding RNA from Hylaeus anthracinus, 1733 nucleotides. RefSeq lists it as uncharacterized. The transcript is spliced from 3 exons. Lineage: Eukaryota; Metazoa; Arthropoda; Insecta; Hymenoptera; Colletidae. The record is from RefSeq and is a predicted model, not a curated record.
UAGUUAAAAGUUUUAUUCACUGCAAAGAUCAGAGGGUGCUCCAAAAAGUGAACUAGCCUCACUCGAGAUACUUCCCCUCGUACCACCCCUCAGAAUGUCGUAUAACUUCACAUUGACUUGAUACUUUCGGUGAUCAUAUAUCCACCUUGAUGAAUUUCUGACAGAAAUCUUCGCAGUAAAAUUCUGAAACCUCUCCCGAAUCGACAUACUCCACCAAAAAUUGAUUCUUCGUACCAAACCAUUCCCUAAAUGGUACAUAUCUUAUAUUCAGACUUUUCGUGGUACUCGCGGUGAAAUCUAGCGAGAGUGCCGCGAAUGUUGGGCGGAAACAGCGCGGAGUAGAGCGCUGUACGCGUGGCCAGCUGUCAACGGAAAUACCUGGCCGCUUGGCACCGCUUGAAAAUAGAUUGGCAGCAGUUCGCAUCCUCCUCGAGGCCGGUUCGCUCGAAUCGCGAUAAAGCCUGGUCGAUCGUCGAUUUUCCUCUCUUCCUCUUCCAGAAACGGAAGUCCCGCGCUCGAGGAUACUUUGGCUUUUCAAACUCCUGGAAGUUACAUAUUUUUUCUCCUCUUUUCACCUUCUCCUUCGCCGAGGGAAAAAGUGCGCGUCGAUAGUGGUAAAUGCGAUUCGGUGGAAAAAGUCGUUGGAGUCUUCGAUAUGUCGGCCGUUGCUGGCUUGCCAGGUUCCUCGAAGCAGCCUGAUAAUUACGAUCAGGGACAGUCGCAGCUGGCAGUAGACGAUCGUCGUUGACGUUUUGUUUCUGCGUCCCUCUGACGGUUUCCAGGGCCACGUUCCCUGGCGUUGCACGUCGAUGAUUAAUGGAACCCUCCCACGCGAAAACGAACUCGCCACGGGUUAGAGUUAGACGCGGCGUUGGGUCACGAUCGCAGCCAGACUUUUCGGUCUAUUUCAGGAGCGAAAUCGUGUCUAUGUCGACGUACAGAGAGAAAAUCUAUCGCGACUGUGCGUAACUCUAUUCUCGUUCCACUUUAGCAAAGGUCGCUCUCGUGGCGAGUAGUCCAGUCACUCUGGGAAUUAAUUUUCAACUGGUGAUUUAGUAGAUCCCUCUGAAGAGUAUUUUUUUCUGAAACCGAAAAGUUUAUUAACUUGAUUUAAAUAUUUGUAUCGUUGGAAGAAAUAAAAGGAUAUCAAAUUCAAAAUUAUACUGUUCCAUAAUUCAGCAAUUAUAUUAUUCCACAGUUGAAUCUGAAGUGACUAGGCUAUGGUAAUUGCCAAUAGCGUCUCGUUGGCGUUCGUGCUCCUCGACGACAGACCUUUCAGACGAGGCUGAAGAUUGAACUGUCUAAAAUACUUCCCAGAGUCUCAAUUAAUAAGACUGUCUAAUUCCUCGUGCCAGUGAUUCUAACGUCUUCCAACGCUAAAUUAAUUCAUGCCAAAAUACGAUUGUAAAUCCAAUUGCUUGUUCGACAAGUUGUUUCGUCGACACUAUAGCACUUGAACUGCUGUUUGAAUAAUCCUCAAAGUCUCGAGGAUGACUCCACCCAUCGACUAAUGAGAAUUUAUCUACUAAUUCCUCGCGCUGACGAUUCCAUCAUCGUGUAACUAAACGUACUUAGCGUGUAACUAAAUCUCAUAGACCCAAAUGCGACUAGGUCUAGAUGCUCGUUCAAUGACGUGUUAGUUUUUAUGCUCCUUGAAAGUGUGAAGAAAGAGUCCCGACUAACGCAGUCUCAAUGUCUUCUAACACGGAAUUAAUCUCGAUGGGCCCGAUUAC